AAGGCCACUUCCACCCUCUGCACCCACCACAUUUCCAGUGGUCCACGUGGCCAGAAAUUGCUCCUGCCAUUAUGCUGAAUUUGCCCACCCUAUAUUUCAAUCAAGAUGCUAGCCAUCAGCCCUGAUAUCUUCAGGGCGAUGGAAAACAUACUUCACAGCAGCGACCUGAGGGCUGGUGCUCUGUCACUGGGCAGAUGCUUUUUUAGGUGGCAGAUUCUGGGUGUCCUGAAAGGGCGCCAAAUCGUUACUUCUUUUAUUAUGGAUGUGUGCGUUUACUGCUACAGACGUGGAAAGGGGCUUGAGGGCAUUUUUUGCCUCCUGUGUCCAAGUUAGGCCAGUUCCUCAGCGGCCGUUUCCUACCCCACCUGAGGCAGCAGAACGGCUUGGGCGGCCCCCAAGCAGCUGAGAAGUCACCUCGGGACUUUCGGCGCUUCUUUCUGCCCAAAACUUGGUGCCCUCGACAUCUCGGGCGCGCGCGCGCGUGUCAAAGACCGCCGGCGAGCCUCUCCACAGACCCCGGCUGGGGAGGGGGCAAGCGGGGGAGAUGGGUUCCCCCCCCCAAGAACGUCUACUCUUCAGUUCUCGGCUCUUCGGAACGGAGGCCGGCGAGCGGCCUCUUACCUGGAAAGCUGCUCUCGGGCCGUCAGGAGCCCGGCGGCGGCGAGAUGCGGUGGCGCACAGCGCCCCCUACUUACCGCCGCGUCCGGGAGAGCGCGGUCCGUGGGAAGGAGCGCCCGGAGAACGAGCCCUCAGUGAGGGAAAGCGAGCGAGCGAGCGUGUGGCACAAAGUCCGGGCUGGAUUUGCGCGCCGCGGCCAGGUCGCGAGAGGGGCUGCGAGCCGCUUUCGCUGGCCCGUUAUUUAAGGCGCCUCGGCGCGUCUCGGCGGUGGAGAGGCGAGCGUGGAUGCUGGACAGGAGAAAACCAUCCGCCUUCUGAACCAGAGUCCUGGUAAGACAGGCAGGCGGGAGGCAUUUUUCCAAAGAGGAAUCAUCGCAGUAAAAAUAAUGUUAGUGUAUUAGUACUAACUAUAAUUUUAUUACUAAAGAGUAGUAGUACUAAUGGCAAUAAUAGCAGCAGCAAGAAGAGCAAUUCUAGACAUAGAGUCUCCCUGUGCACGUUUACUCGGGAGUAAGUUCCCGUGGAAAUCAACGGUCUUCUCCCCAUCCCCGAGUCCACGUGCAUAGGAUCGGCGGGAGCGCCAGGUAGGUAGGUACGCCUAAUGGGUGGAGGAAGCGCCCAGGAUCGGUUUGCACGUGGUGGCGGAGGCAAGCUGAAGUUCAGAGCCCCCAUGCCUAGGAUCGGGGCGGUCCCGGGGCUUCCGCGGAUUUUCCAGGCUGAUCAGAAAACGAAAGAAGCGGAGCUCCCCGGUCCCAGAUGGAGGCGCUGAUUUUUGCUUUCGGGGAGUUCAGCCUCGCUGACGGACUUCUCUGGAGAUGAAGUCCACGAAUGUCGAUCGGGGCCGCCGGGGCAGCCCGAUCCGAUGCAGGUUUACUGGGCAGUAAGGGAGGAAAUGGAAUUCGCCCUGGGUUGGGUGGGGGGCUGAGCCCAAGAUUGCGCCUCCUAGAAGUGAUGUCGCCCUAUUGUCCCAGGGGGCUUACUCCGAGGUCGGCGGGUGCGGGACAGCAUCCUUUCCGCGGCUGAUCAUUCGGUGCGUUUGUGUGUCCGCGCGUGCGAAGUCCGAUGCAGGUUUACUGGGCAGUAAGGGAGGAAAUGGAAUUCGCCCUGGGUUGGGUGGGGGGCUGAGCCCAAGAUUGCGCCUCCUAGAAGUGAUGUCGCCCUAUUGUCCCAGGGGGCUUACUCCGAGGUCGGCGGGUGCGGGACAGCAUCCUUUCCGCGGCUGAUCAUUCGGUGCGUUUGUGUGUCCGCGCGUGCGAAGUCCGCUGUU
Pogona vitticeps (central bearded dragon) is the source of this 1885-nucleotide long non-coding RNA. The record is from Ensembl. Lineage: Eukaryota; Metazoa; Chordata; Lepidosauria; Squamata; Agamidae.